This 506-nucleotide ribosomal RNA is filed under the name uncultured bacterium. Its description in RNAcentral is "partial 16S ribosomal RNA". It matches the Rfam family "Bacterial small subunit ribosomal RNA", at positions 29 to 523 of the family's 1533-position model. The record is from RNAcentral.
AUUGAACGCUGGCGGCAGGCCUAACACAUGCAAGUCGGACGGUAGCACAGGGGAGCUUGCUCCCCGGGUGACGAGUGGCGGACGGGUGAGUAAUGUCUGGGAAACUGCCCGGUGGAGGGGGAUAACUACUGGAAACGGUAGCUAAUACCGCAUAACGUCUUCGGACCAAAGUGGGGGACCUUAGGGCCUCACGCCACCGGAUGUGCCCAGAUGGGAUUAGCUAGUAGGUGGGGUAACGGCUCACCUAGGCGACGAUCCCUAGCUGGUCUGAGAGGAUGACCAGCCACACUGGAACUGAGACACGGUCCAGACUCCUACGGGAGGCAGCAGUGGGGAAUAUUGCACAAUGGGCGCAAGCCUGAUGCAGCCAUGCCGCGUGUAUGAAGAAGGCCUUCGGGUUGUAAAGUACUUUCAGCGGGGAGGAAGGCGGUGAGGUUAAUAACCUCGCCGAUUGACGUUACCCGCAGAAGAAGCACCGGCUAACUCCGUGCCAGCAGCCGCCGUAA